RNAcentral lists this ribosomal RNA (720 nucleotides) under uncultured bacterium. RNAcentral describes it as "bacterial SSU rRNA". It matches the Rfam family "Bacterial small subunit ribosomal RNA", at positions 335 to 1064 of the family's 1533-position model. The record is from RNAcentral.
ACUCCUACGGGUGGCUGCAGUGGGGAAUAUUGCACAAUGGGCGCAAGCCUGAUGCAGCGACGCCGCGUGGGGGAUGAAGGCCUUCGGGUUGUAAACUCCUUUCGCUAGGGACGAAGCUUUGUGUGACGGUACCUAGAUAAGAAGCACCGGCUAACUACGUGCCAGCAGCCGCGGUAAUACGUAGGGUGCGAGCGUUGUCCGGAAUUACUGGGCGUAAAGGGCUCGUAGGUGGUUUGUCGCGUCGUCUGUGAAAUUCUGGGGCUUAACUCCGGGCGUGCAGGCGAUACGGGCAUAACUUGAGUGCUGUAGGGGUAACUGGAAUUCCUGGUGUAGCGGUGAAAUGCGCAGAUAUCAGGAGGAACACCGAUGGCGAAGGCAGGUUACUGGGCAGUUACUGACGCUGAGGAGCGAAAGCAUGGGUAGCGAACAGGAUUAGAUACCCUGGUAGUCCAUGCCGUAAACGGUGGGCGCUAGGUGUGAGGGUCUUUCUACGACUUUCGUGCCGUAGCUAACGCAUUAAGCGCCCCGCCUGGGGAGUACGGCCGCAAGGCUAAAACUCAAAGGAAUUGACGGGGGCCCGCACAAGCGGCGGAGCAUGUGGAUUAAUUCGAUGCAACGCGAAGAACCUUACCUGGGCUUGACAUACACUAGAUCGCUGCAGAGAUGUAGUUUCCCUUUGUGGUUGGUGUACAGGUGAUGCAUGGAUGUCGUCAGCUCGUG